Molecule: RNase P RNA, 384 nt
Filed under: Bacteroidota bacterium
Lineage: Bacteria; Pseudomonadati; Bacteroidota
Description: Bacteroidetes bacterium (soil metagenome) RNase P RNA component class A
Rfam family: Bacterial RNase P class A
About the family: Ribonuclease P (RNase P) is a ubiquitous endoribonuclease, found in archaea, bacteria and eukarya as well as chloroplasts and mitochondria. Its best characterised activity is the generation of mature 5'-ends of tRNAs by cleaving the 5'-leader elements of precursor-tRNAs. Cellular RNase Ps are ribonucleoproteins.
Source: RNAcentral
AUUGCAGGCUGUCUUGUCGCUUUCCCAUUAAAAGGAAAGAGGAAAGUCCGGGCAACAUAGGGCAACGCGCUUCCUAACGGGAAGAGUCCUUCAUUUAGGUGAGGGAUAUGGAAAGUGCCACAGAAAAUUACCGCCUUUUAUUCCGCAAGGGAUUUUAGGUAAGGGUGAAAAUGCGAGGUAAGAGCUCACAACGGAGCCUGGUGACAGGUUUCGGGGGUAAACCCUGCGUGUUGAAAGGCCAAAUAAACCGGAGCAUUGCUGACUUGUCGGCAAUAAGGGCUGCCCGCUCUAUCCGGAGGGUAGGCCGAUUGAUUCUUCUGGUGACGGAAGAACUAGAUAAAUGACAAGGCACGACAGAACCCGGCUUAUAGGCCUGCAAUAACA